Molecule: ribosomal RNA, 484 nt
Filed under: uncultured bacterium
Lineage: Bacteria
Description: partial 16S ribosomal RNA
Rfam family: Bacterial small subunit ribosomal RNA
Source: RNAcentral
AUUGAACGCUGGCGGCAGGCCUAACACAUGCAAGUCGAGCGGAUGAAGGGAGCUUGCUCCUGGAUUCAGCGGCGGACGGGUGAGUAAUGCCUAGGAAUCUGCCUGGUAGUGGGGGAUAACGUCCGGAAACGGGCGCUAAUACCGCAUACGUUCUGCGGGAGAAAUGGGGGGAUCUUCGGACCUCACGCUAUCAGAUGCGCCUAGGUCGGAUUAGCUAGUUGGUGGGGUAAUGGCCUACCAAGGCGACGAUCCGUAACUGGUCUGAGAGGAUGAUCAGUCACACUGGAACUGAGACACGGUCCAGACUCCUACGGGAGGCAGCAGUGGGGAAUAUGGGACAAUGUGCGAAAGCCUGAUCCAGCCAUGCCGCGUGUGUGAAGAAGGUCUUCGGAUUGUAAAGCACUUUAAGUUGGGAGGAAGGGCAGUAAGUUAAGACCUUGCUGUUGUGACGUUACCAACAGAAUAAGCACCGGCUAACUUCGUG